AACAGAACGUUUCUUAUGUUCUCAGAAUCAUUUAAAAUGCUUCUUCCAUCAUCUCCAUUCUGUGCAUCAAACCACUCAACGUUAGAGGAAGCAGUGGAAUCACAGAAUUAUGAAGCCAACCUGCAUCAUCAAACAGCUGAGAAAACACUUUGAGCUGAGAAUCAACAUUUAAAAUGUUACCACCUGUGUGCAUUAGCUCUUUAAUAAGUUUAACAACACCUUUAAUUGUGUUCACUUUAAUUCUUCUUUCAGAUGGAAGCUUUUCAAUUGUAUUUAUCAACGCUUUAGCUGUGAAUUUUGUUUGUCUUUUUUCACCCUUAGCACUGAUAUCAGAACAUGACUUUGAUUUAUUCAUUUCCAUUUUUCAAUAAUGAAUGACCACAAAUCACAAUGAAGUCCCACUUUUACACACACACACACACACCUUAACAUGAAAAUAUCACUGAACAGGUUCAUAUGUGACCAAGCAAAAGGCAAAUGUGGGUCGGACUGAUUCCCCCUAACUGCCUAUUAAAACGAACUAAAGUCAACCCUAGUCUUCUGUGCAUACUAGCGGUGGGUAUUAUGUACCUGUAUACCGAUAGUCUUGAAACACACGUAGACGGCCUGAGACAAGAACUACGGCGGUACUCCCGAGCCCAAUGCUCCAGCCACUUGAUGCACAAAAUAACAACAAACAAUACAGCCACCUUAUGUAGCAGCACUGCUGAGCCUAACCGGGGAAAAGUUCAUCCAUAAGACACGAACCUGUGUGUGUGAAAGUGUGGCGGAUUCAUCCCCCAUAUCCAUUGAUUGACAGGAUACAAUCAUGCAUGAAUGAAACGUAGUCGUGGUCUGUGCGUCAGCGUCUCUCCGUUGACUCCGCUCGCUCCCACUUCCUUGUUGAAACGCUUCCAAACAAUUCACGCUUCAAAGACACUUUUGUUGACUUUGACAGCGGCCGAUCGAUGUUAAAGGAUUUCAAAAACAAGCCGCUGGAGGCUAAACACACGAGCUAAGUGAUGACGCGCACACGAAGGCGUGUCUCUGUGGCUCUACCACUCUUUAUUCAUCACGCUGAGUGCCAAACUGCGCACGACACUCGUGGCGUGUUCAUAAUAAGAGAGAAAUAAUACACACAGCAAACAAAACAUGCAUUGACAAAAGAUUUCGCUCCACCGUGCUCACCCUACGUCAUGACUGACAACCAGCAACCAGUGAAUGUGUUCAAUUCACUCUUAUCAUUCUAUUGAUAUCAUUCUUACAUUGACAUUAUAUUCAUAUAAUACAUUCAAGUCCACAAACAUAGAUGUAGAACUCUCGCGCUGCCUCUUUAUUUCCUGCUCGACUCAUUUCCUGUAAGAGAAAGUGAAAGUAACUAUUCUGUAACUUUGCUUCAGUCGCCAUUUGAACUGCGCAGCACGAGGACAGACUGUUUUCUCUCGUGUGAUCACUGGACUGAACA
Molecule: long non-coding RNA, 1444 nt
Organism: Solea senegalensis (Senegalese sole)
Lineage: Eukaryota; Metazoa; Chordata; Actinopteri; Pleuronectiformes; Soleidae
Exons: 3
Source: RefSeq, a predicted model, not a curated record